GCCGCACUUAUAUAAGUUCCUUGCCUCCAUGGGAAGCGGCUGCCCUGACAGGAGGCUGAUUAAUCCGUAAGGAGCAAUU
RNAcentral lists this non-coding RNA (79 nucleotides) under Moellerella wisconsensis. RNAcentral describes it as "RpsF leader". It matches the Rfam family "RpsF leader". Rfam says of the family: Conserved and widely distributed to many bacterial species RNA structure. It precedes operon containing rpsF, which encodes ribosomal protein S6. Lineage: Bacteria; Pseudomonadati; Pseudomonadota; Gammaproteobacteria; Enterobacterales; Morganellaceae. The record is from RNAcentral.